Molecule: ribosomal RNA, 205 nt
Filed under: uncultured bacterium
Lineage: Bacteria
Description: partial 16S ribosomal RNA
Rfam family: Bacterial small subunit ribosomal RNA
Source: RNAcentral
CGUAGGCGGUCUGUUAAGUCCGAUGUCAAAGCCCGGGGCUCAACCCCGGAUCGGCGUUGGAUACUGGCAGGCUAGACGGCUGGAGAGGCGAGUGGAAUUACCAGUGUAGCGGUGGAAUGCGUAGAUACUGGUAGGAACACCCAUUGCGAAGGCAGCUCGCUGGACAGAUCGUGACGCUGAGGCGCGAAAGUGUGGGGAGCAAACC